RNAcentral lists this ribosomal RNA (207 nucleotides) under uncultured bacterium. Its description in RNAcentral is "partial 16S ribosomal RNA". It matches the Rfam family "Bacterial small subunit ribosomal RNA", at positions 568 to 774 of the family's 1533-position model. The record is from RNAcentral.
CUCGUAGGUGGUUUGUCACGUUGUCCGUGAAAACUCACAGCUUAACUGUGGGCGUGCGGGCGAUACGGGCAGACUAGAGUACUGUAGGGGAGACUGGAAUUCCUGGUGUAGCGGUGGAAUGCGCAGAUAUCAGGAGGAACACCGGUGGCGAAGGCGGGUCUCUGGGCAGUAACUGACGCUGAGGAGCGAAAGCGUGGGGAGCGAGCA